RNA transcript from Trichomycterus rosablanca, 7956 nucleotides. It is a transcript of the gene named translocated promoter region a, nuclear basket protein, with no coding region annotated. NCBI's taxonomy places the organism in Eukaryota, Metazoa, Chordata, Actinopteri, Siluriformes, Trichomycteridae. The transcript is spliced from 52 exons. The record is from RefSeq and is a predicted model, not a curated record.
AUGUCGCUUUAGCUUUAGCUAACUUGUGCUAGCGCCAGCGUUAGCAUUUGUUCUGGUCAACAUGGCGACAGUUCUACAGCAGGCGUUGGAACGGACGGAAAUAAAUAAAAUCCCGAAAGCCGUUCAGAACAAACUGGAGAAGUUUCUCACGGACAAGCAGACGGAACUGGAGUCUCUCAGAAUCAACCAUGAACGUUUUAAAACUGACUCCGAGCAGCAGUAUUUCAACGUGGAGAAGAAGCUCAUUGACAUGCAGGAACAACUGCUGUCCAACAGUAAAGAAUUUGAAGCUCUUAAGGAGGAGAACUCUCGGCUGACUGAAGAACUCAAGAAAUUUAAAGAAAAUGAGGAGCAGGAAACGUCAUCACAGCUGGCUAAACCCCAGAAAGCCAAAUUUGAGAUUGAAGCAGAAAACAAGGAGCUGUCCCGCCUGCUUGAGAAGAAAGCACAGGAGGUGGAAAAUCUCACUGAGGACCUCAAGCGCAUCACUGACAAACUGGAAGAAGUAAGUGCAGCAAAAAUGGAGAUUCAGCUCAAACUGGACGAGCUUCAGUCAUCUGAGCUCUCCAUACAGCAUCGAGAGAAGAGGAUGGAGCAGGAGAAGGAACUUCUCCAGAACCAGAACACGUGGUUAAACACUGAGCUGAAGAGCAAAACGGACGAGCUGCUCACAGUAACCAGAGAUAAAGGCAAAGAGAUCCUGCAGCUCCGGUGCUCCUUAGAGAGCAAAACUGAAGAGGUAACCAGGCUUCAGGAGGAGGUGAAAACUAUGAGGAGUUCAUGUGAGAACCUGCAGAAGAACACAGAGGAGCUGUUGGCCAAACUAAAAGAGGAAAAAGACCAGCGCAUCGCCAUGGAGGGAAAAUAUCGCAACGAACUCAAUGCCAACACACGACUCUGCAACUUAUACAAGAGCGCGGCGGCUGACUCCGGGACCAAGAACGUAGAGCUCACCAGAGCCGUAGAAGAACUCAACAAACUACUAAAAGAUGCAGCAGAAUGUAGCAAAGCGACCGAGAAGAAGUUUGCCGAGUUGGAGGGCUCCCAGGGGAAGGUGGAGGCGGAACUGCAGGAGAAGAUCAAAUGUCUGGAAAAAGAGCUGGAGAACGCUAAGACUAGCCUGGCAGAUUUCAAGCGCAGAGGAGUUCCCGCUCUGUCUGAAGAAGAGCUGACCAACAUGUCUCCAACGGCAGCUGCAGUGGCCAAAAUCGUCAAACCGGGCAUGAAACUCAUGGAGCUGUACAAUUCGUUCGUGGAUGCUCAGGACCAGCUGCAGCUGGAGAAGCUGGAAAACCGGCGCCUCAGCAAGACGCUAAACGAGAUCACGACGGAGGUGGAGCGUAAGGCGCCUUUGCUCAAGAGGCAGAAGGAGGAGUAUCAGAACAUGAAUAAGUCUAUGGGAAGCCUUUGUUCCAAAUUAGAGCAGGCUAUGAAGGAGAUGAACAGACUGCAGAAAGAAACGGACGAGGCCAAUAAACGAGCCUCGGAGCUGGAGAAAGACAAUCGGAGGUCCGAGAAACAGAUUGCGGAUAUGUCUCAGCAGGUGCGGGUGUUGCUGGUGGAGCUGGAGGAGGCCCGAGGGACCAAGGUUGUGCGUGAGGAGGUGAGCUCGGCUGUGAGCAGCACCUCGGAGGUCAAAGGGGCGCGGCAGGUCGCUUUCCGCAGCGUGGAGGAGCUUCAGCAGCAAAACCAGAACCUGCUGGUCCAGGUUAGAGAGCUGGAGGAGCAGCGGGAGAAGAGCCAGACUGAGGUCAAGACCGCCAGGCAGGUCGAGCUGGAGAAGGUGCAGAAGGAGCUGGAGCAGUUAAAGGAGCAGAGGAACCAGCAGAAGCAGCUGGCCGACUCGGCCACGAGGCAGAGAGACAUGUACCGCAUUCUUCUACAGACGGCCGGGGUGAACCUGCCUCCACAGAGCUCGGAGGGCGGCUCGGACUCUUCCGCACCCAGCAGGCCGGUGAUCAGCGCCACUCAGUCCGCCUCAAACAAGUCUGUAGCUGCCGAGGUGGCCCAGACCAUCCAGACUAAAGUGGCUUUCAAGCAGCUAAACGACGCUUUUACCACCUACAAGAAGGAGAAGGCCGAGAACGAUAAGCUGCUGAACGAGCAGAACGAACGUCUGCAGCGCCAGGUGUCUGACCUGAUCUCCCAGAAGGCCAAGCUCUCCUCUCAGCUGGAGUUUGCCUCUAAAAGGUACGAGAUGCUACACGACAACCUGAACGGCUACAGGAGGGAGAUCAACGCGAUGCGAGACCGAAUUCAGAAACUCUCCGCCACCAAUCAGAGAUACGAACAGAUCAUCCACACCAUGACCCAGGAUCUGAGGGAGGUCGGAGAGAAGCUAGCGCUCGCCGAGGUGCGAAACGAGAACCUGUGUAAGGAGCGGGACAUUUUGAAGCAGGUGGAGAGCAGACUGACCCAGGAGAAGGAGUCCAUCCUGGCUGAGCAGCGGAACCAGAACCUGCUGCUCACCAACCUCAAGUCCAUUCAGCUGACGAUGGAGCGCACGGAGGCCGACAGCAGGCAGCGCUGUGCCUCCCAGGUCGUGCAGCUGCAGAAGGAGAUCGCCCAGCUGAAAAAGAGAGUCGAACAGGAGGUCGAGCGGAGACACGCCGUGGAGCGCAACCAAGAUACUCAGCUGGUGGAGGCUAAAAAGCAGCUCUCCGCUCAGACCGCUCUUCACCAGAAGACCAAGGAGCUCCUGAAGAGGGCCGAGCUGCAGGUUUCCACUCUAAGACGACAGCUGAACAACUCUGAGAACAAACAGCCGAUCAAACCACCAUCCACCGCCGCAGCUCCCGGCGUUCCCGUACAGGAGGUGGAGGAACUGCGCGCACGCCUGCAGCAGGCCGAGGACGAUAAAUCCGACCUGCAGGAGCGUCUGACGAGCACCACCAAUAAUCUGGAGGAGUACAGGACCAUGGUGCUCAGCCUAGAGGAUUAUAUCAGCAAGGACAAACAGGCGGUUGAGGACGCCCUGGCGGCCGUAGAGACCCAGCUGAAGGAGGCCCAGGAGCUGAACAAGCAGCUGGAGAGCCGACUGGAGGAGGCAGAACGGGAGAAGCAGGAGCUGCACGACGAGAAGACCAAAGCUGUGGAGAACGUGGAGAAAAACGUGAAAGAUCUGAAGAGGAACGUGACGGAAUUGCAGACGGAGCUGCAGGAAGCCCUGCAGAGAGCCACAUCCGCCGUGGCCAAGGAGCAGCAAGCCACCCAGGACAGCCAGCAGCAGACCAAGCUGGCUACCGAGGCGCAGAAUAAAUACGAGCGGGAGCUCAUGCUUCACGCUGCUGACGUGGAGGCGUUGCAGACUGCUAAGAAACAGGCCCAAGAGGCAGUGCAGAAGCUCAAAGACCUGGAGGAGAAGGCCCAAAAAGCCACGUCUGAGCUGCAGCGAGGUCGCUCUGGCUGGGAACAGCAGGAGAAAAACUUAAAGGAGGAGCUGUUGAAGCAGAAGAAGCGUGUGGAGGACCUGCAGAAACAAAACAACAUGCUCCACGAAGAGAUGGAGAGUCUGAGCGUGAAGCUGGCCACCACGGUUCAGCAGCACGCAGAGCGAGACGUCCUGAACGUGUCUCUUAACGAGGACGGCAAGACUCAUGAGCAGAUCCUGGAGAUCCUCAGGUUUGUUCGUCGGGAGAAGGAGAUCGCCGAAGCUCGCUUUGAAGUGGCUCAAGUAGAAACUCAACGCUACCAGCAGCAAAUGGAGCACCUGGAGAAAGAGCUGAAGGAGCUCCAGGACUCCCUGACCGCCGAGCGAGAUAAACUGCAGGUCAUGGCGAAGGCCAUGGCUCAGCAGGAGGACAAGCUGAAGAGGCUGGAGAACCUGAACACGCUCACCGAGACCAAUAAAGUGCUGAAGGAGGAGAAGAACAGGCUAGAGCAGGAGAUGCAACAGUGUCGGGCCAAGGUGCAUAAGCUGGAGGUGGAUCUGAAGCCUCUGCAGGAGAGCAACACUGAGCUCAGCAUGAACAAUGGCAUGCUGCAGGCUGAGAAGCGACUGCUGGAGGAGGACGUCAAGCGCUGGAAGAACCGCAACCAGCAAUUAAUGAGCCAGCAGAAGGACAGCAAUCAGGAGGAGAGUAAGAAGCUCCAGUCAGAGAAGGAGGCCCAGCAGAAACGCAUCCAGCAGCUCACAGAGGAGGCGGCCAAACUGAAGAGCGAGCUGGCCAGAGCCAAUGCGUCCGCCACCACGGCACAGAGCCAGGGCCAGAACCUCAAGGAGACCAUGGGAAAACUCACGGCCGAGAGGGACAGUCUGAAGAAGGAGCUGGAAACCAAGACUCAGGACAUCCAGGAGAAACUUAAAACCAUCAUGCAGGUGAAGAAGAUCGGGCGCCGGUACAAGACCCAGUACGAGGAGCUCAAGGCACAGCAUGACAAGAUGGUCACGGAAGCAGCUGCUAAGCCUGCGCAGACGGAGGCGGUACCGCAGGACGCUCAGGAGGUCGAGAACCUGAAAGGCUCAUUAACCCAGGCUCAGAGCAGAACCACAGAGCUGGAGGCCCAAGUGGAGAACAUGCAGAAGGCGGUCGGGGAGAGAGGGGCCGAGGCGAAGGGCCUGCAGGAGCAGCUGGCUCAGGUUCAGCCGGAGCUAACGCGGCUCCGUGCAGAACUCCAGGAGAAGGGCACUCGGGAGGAGCAGCUCAGGCAGCAGAUCACCGAGAAGGAGGAGAAGACUAAGAAAGCCAUUCUGAUAGCCAAGCAGAGGAUCAGCCAGCUCAACGCUGCUAAGGAGAAACUGACCAAAGAAAACGAGGAGAUGAAGCAGCAGCGGGAGGAGCUGGAGGUCAGGAUGAGCGCGCUGAAGUCUCAGUACGAAGCACGCAUGAGCCGACAGGAACGCGAGCUGAGGGAGCUACGGGAGCAACAGGAGAGACACGGAGAACAGAGAGACGAGUCUUUGGAGCCGGGAAGCACCAAGGCUCAGGAGCAGCCGAGGCCGUCCGAAAGCAGACAGAUCAGCCUGAAACCCACUCCGGCUGCUGACCGAGGAAGCGCCAGCAGCAGUGAGCCUCCGACAGCUAAUAUCAAGCCCACUCCUGUAGCUGGAGCUGCCAGCAAACCCUCCCCUAUCCCGGGCAGCAAGGCCACGCCUAGAGCCAGCAUCCGGCCGAUGAUAACACCCGCUCCUGUCAGCACGCUGACACCCACCGCCACGGUCAUGCCCACUGCGCAGACUGAGACACAAGAAGCCCUGCAGCCGUCUGACGCUCCUGUAGAGCACGUCACCGUGUUCGGCAGCGGCUCGGUACGCUCGACCAGUCCGAACGUCCAGAGCACUCAGCCCAUCAUCUCGCUGCAGCAGAGCCAGACCACGGCGUUCGUCCAGCCCACUCAGCAGCAGGCCAAUCAGGAGCCGGCAGCCGCCGCGCCCAUGGUGGAGGCGGUGCACAGCUCUCAGAUGGAGAGGCCGUCCACCUCCACCACCCUGUUUGGCACAGUGACGGCGAGCGCAGGUUCUUCUCUACAGAAGCGUGUCAGAGAGGAGGAUCUGGAGAGCUCCAGCGAGGUGACCGACAGCACUCAGGACGACCUCGGGGAGCCUCCGGUGCUGAAGAAGAUCCGCUUCGUUCAGAGUCUCGGCAUGGAGGAGGAUAUCGGCACUGAAGAGAGCAACGAUGCCGAUCCUGCUACUCCUGGAGGUGCGCUGGAAGCCCCAGAUGCUAGUGAGGAUGGUUACUCUGCGUUGGCGGAGGGUGAAGACGAGUCGUCCCAGUCCGCCCCCGCUUAUCAGGCGAGCGAGUCUCAAGACUCGACUGACCAGCAGAGGCCGGAUGUCAUUACCAUCAACAGCGAAGACGAGGAGGGCGAAGAGGAGGCCGGGCAGUAUGAAGAUGAGGAGGAGGAUGAAGAUGGAGAGGCAGCGAUGGCAGAAGGAGAGGAGAGUAACCAAGGCAGUGGAGACGGGAACGAGCCGUUUGAAGCAGAUGAUGCUGAGGCAGCUGAAGCCACCGAGCUGGACACUGAGAAUAACGAGAGCCAGGAAGCAUCAGACUCGACCCAGAAACAUGCAGAUUCUCAGAGCAGUGGCGAGGCGAGCGUCAGCACGAUGGCUCCGAGCCCCGCGGCCGAACCCACCAGGGACGUGCAGCCCUCCACCAGCACAACCAGCGCCUCCAGCAGCUCCUUGUCCUCCCAGGCUCCCCGACUGCCCCAGUCUCCUCGCAGACCCCAUCACACACCCCCACCACGCCUCAACAUCCACCCCGUCCCCGAGCUCGGCCCCCCUCUCACACAGAGACAGUCAAACCAGACUAGACGCCCCUCAAUGAGCCGUGUACCACAGCUCACUCCUGGCAUUGGAAGCAUGCAACACUUCUUCGAUGACGACGACCGUAUGGUUCCCAGCACUCCGACUCUAGUGGUUCCUCACCGCAACGACGGCUUCGCCGAGGCUAUACAUUCUCCUCAGGUUGCCGGAGUCCCUCGAUUCCGUUUCGGUCCUCCAGAUGACAUUAUUUCCCAGACAGGCUCGUCUCACUCUGACCUGGGGCAGCUGGCGUCUCAAGGUGGAUUGGGCAUGUACGAGAGUCCUUUAUUUCUGGCGGCUCACGAUGAAGAAUCUGGAGGCAGGAGCGUCCCCACCACCCCUCUGCAGGUGGCAGCUCCAGUGAACGUUUUCGCGGAGAGUCACCCUUCAGACGUGGCCGAGUCGGCCUCACAGUCCGUCCCGAUGGUCAGCACGUCCACAGCGACCGUGCCCGGACCCGGAGACGACGGCGACGACGUCUUCAUGGCGGAAGCGGAAAGUGAAGGGACCAGUGGAGAGGCAUCGCUGGAGGGCCAGUCUGAACUGGUGCCAGCUCAGCCUUCCGACGACGCCAGCCUUCCAUCCACCAGCCAAGAGCCGACCUCCAGCUCCGUUCCAGACACGAGCAGCAGUCAGCAGCCCAGACCUACAGAGAGAGCUCGAACCUCCAACAGGGGGCAUCUCAUCAGAAGGGGAGUGGGCUUCACUCGGGGCGGUCGAGGACGAGGUUAUAACAGAAACGCCCAUUUGUAAUAGUUUGACACCUGAAAUCGCAGUUUGCACUUGAUAACCAGUGCACUGACCCACAUGUUAGUUUUGUACAUACGCUGAUAGAUUUCGAUGUUGUUUAAAACUUCGCUUUUGCCUUUUUAAUUGUACUUAAAGAUUUUCAUUCGAUCUUUUCUUUUUUUACUUUAUGAAUGAUGAAGCCUUUCAGUGUUUUGCUGAUAAAUCAAUAAAGCUGUUCAGUGUUUUUGCUAAUACGUGGUGGCUUGCAGACGCGCUGUGAUUCGCUCUUUAAGGGCAGCCGAGCCAGUUCCUCAGGUCGUUCUGCUCAGCGGACGGUUUAGCAGGAGACGCCAGGGCAGGGAUCUCGCCGACGACCUUGAUGGGCAGUUGUAGCCUAACGAUUAAGGUACUGGGCUAGUAAGCAGAAACCCCAUCUGACCCUACCUCCCACAGCCUCCAAACAAGUCGGGUCAACAACUGUCUGUUCAGAAUUAGUCUACGUUCAACCAGGUGCACAUUUUUUGUCCAGGAAGCGAGUAUAACAGUGUAUGAGUCUGAGAGGACACGGGUGCAGGGUCUUACUGCAGUGAGCGCUGUAGUCGGAGCAGCAGGAGUUGUAGCGGGUGCAGUCAGGGUCACACUCACACUCCCUCCCUCUGCGAAACGCUUCCUGACAACGACCCCGGCAUGAAGCACCUGCCAAAAAACAGCGAGCUUUAUCUUCAUCGUCCUCACGUGAACGUCUGUCAUGAUUAUUACAUUUGUGGAUCUUACGGUUGGUGCAAACUUCCUCAUAGUCCUUGCAGCAGUCAUCGUGGGUGAGACAGCCUUCAUCACAGCUACACACCUGACCACGGGAGAACGGUUCUCCACAGCGGUCCUUACAGCUCACUACACACACACACACACACACACACACACAUGAAAUAAAAAACAAUUAUUAAUUCAUCAGCCUUCACUCUUCUGAACAGGCUUUC